UACCAGCACCUCGAGUGGUCAGGAGGUUUAUUGGGCCUAAAGCAUCCGUAGCCGGCUGCUCAAGUUUCCGGUUAAAUCCACACGCUUAACGUAUGGGCUGCCGGAAAUACUGUUCAGCUAGGGAGUGGGAGAGGUAGACGGUACUCGAUAGGAAGGGGUAAAAUCCUUUGAUCUAUUGAUGACCACCUGUGGCGAAGGCGGUCUACCAGAACACGUUCGACGGUGAGGGAUGAAAGCUGGGGGAGCAAACCGGAUUAGAAA
This 261-nucleotide ribosomal RNA is filed under the name uncultured bacterium. RNAcentral's name for it is "partial 16S ribosomal RNA". It matches the Rfam family "Archaeal small subunit ribosomal RNA", at positions 474 to 735 of the family's 1478-position model. The record is from RNAcentral.